AAGAGACGAUGCUCAUUCCAAAAUAAGUUCCGAACCCCCAAUUAGCAGCUCUAGAAAUAGGUGCUUGAAUAUUGUUAGCAUGUGUCGGCAAGAAUUUAAACCGCUUAUUAAACAACGGAUUGAAAUCACCGUUUUAAAAAGUUGGUCCGAAAAUUAAAAGACAUGCGAUUUUUUUUGACGGACAUCAAUUAACCAGCAUAAUGUUUUUUUUCGUACCUCGAAGAAACAAAUGGAUGCAACCAACACCUAGACCACAGACGACACUGGUGAUUAAUGAUUCCUUAAAACAAGGAUGGUGUACCAUGUGAGCAAAAUCACUCAUCUUCAAUGACUACAAGUAGUAUUAGCAUUCCUUGCAUUUACAACAAACUAGUCCUUUUUAAGCUAUAAAUUCUACCUUGAAAGCGUCAAUAAUCCCAGGUUUUUCGGGUUCAUUUGGUGUACUCAUAGUUACUGAUUCGUUUAAGCUUUUUCAGUUAAUGGUGGAAUAGAGGUAAAUAUAAGGUAUCAAACUGAUUGAAUUAAGCACUACUAAGUUUUUUUACUAUGGCGGGGUCUUUAAUCCUGUACUUCAGCAAUCAGACAAUAUUUUUUUCUUUGAAUUAAUAUAAACUUUUCCAUUUAUGAUAGUAUAUUUCGCCAAAAUAACCAAGCUUUGACAAUUUAUAUCACUGAAAGCAGAAACCGCGUCACCAU
Schizosaccharomyces pombe (fission yeast) is the source of this 696-nucleotide non-coding RNA. The record is from the annotation of a GenBank genome assembly. Lineage: Eukaryota; Fungi; Ascomycota; Schizosaccharomycetes; Schizosaccharomycetales; Schizosaccharomycetaceae.